Molecule: long non-coding RNA, 4728 nt
Organism: Amphiprion ocellaris (clown anemonefish)
Lineage: Eukaryota; Metazoa; Chordata; Actinopteri; Pomacentridae
Source: Ensembl
AGCACGUCUUUAGCACAACAGAAGGUUCGGUUGGCAGGAGUCUGAAGACUGGACGAGAUGGUGUCACUUGAGCUCUAUGGAGAUUUAAUAAGAGACAUGAUUGAUCAAAACCUCUCGCACGCGGACAUUUCCACGAAUUUAUCACAAUUAGGUGUGCAGCGAUGUUCUGAAAUGAGUGUCAGGAGAUUUUGUGCACAACAUUGUGCAACAUUUCCAGGAGGGGACAUGUAUCCGACACACAAUUAGAAGUUGCUAUCAGCAGGGCAAUAAAUCAGACAGGGUCAACAUAUGGUUGAAAGAUGAUGACCAGGUACCUGUCUGCGAUGGGAGUAGUUGCUGGUGAACGCCAGAUAGGGAGGAUUUUGAAAACAACGCAUUGUCCUUAUCACGAAAUGCACAAAUGUGGUGCACGUAACCUUAACCCCGUCCCCUACAGUGCUGCAUACAUGGGACACAAAAUCCACAUCGACCAGAAUGAAAAACUGGUCAUGUUCGGAGUGACGCACGUUUUUGCAGUAGAUGGGUACAGCAGUAAGGUCGUUGCCCAUGCAACCAUGCCUGUCAAGAAUAACCUCACGAUAUAUGAGGAAGUUUACAGAUCAGCAGUUCUUGAAGAUGGGAUGUGGGACCAGGUCAGGGUGGACCAUGGCCGUGAGUUUUACUUGUCCCUCUACAUGCAGGAGAUGCUGUCUAACCACAGACACAACUUGCAAAGGUAACCAUAUCGCCAAACUCAGUCAACAAAGAAUCAUACAGUAGAGCGAAUGUGGGUAGAGAUAAAUAACAGGGUAAAUUAUUCAGUGAAGGAGGCCCUCAUGCAGCUGCAGGAUCAGGAAGUCCUCAACAUGGACGACAACGUGACUAGAUGCUGCACAUCUAACCUUACUGCUGAGCUGUGCAAGAUUGGCAUAACAAGAGCUGUACAUGCAUCAAAUGCACACAGAAUCCCAGUGGUUCAUCAGAACCUCUGGGGAUGUCCUGUGGAUCCUGUGGAUCCUGUGGGUUGCAGGGUGGGUCCUACCUAGACCAGGCUGAUCCUGGACCAUCCCACAGAUGCUCCAUCAGAUGUGGAUGUGGGGAGUGUGGAACCCAGAUGUUCAGAGGGAGAUGAUGCCACAUCUGGUCCAGCUGAUGGAAGGUCUUGAAGUUCUCUGACUGGCCUCGACUGAAGAUGGUCGUCUCACUGGAUUUAAGGUUCAGAUGCUCAGUAACAAACUCCACCAAUGUGCCAACAGGGAAGCUUUAGGUUUAUUAAAUGUUGCUGUGAAGGUUUCACUGUUUUUCUUAGUGAAUGCAAUGUGCUCCAACUGAAAGUUGAAUUAGAACUUAGAAGUAAAUCCUUCCAUCUGUAAGGAUUUAGUUGCAUUAAUAACCUCAUAACAUUCUAAUUUUUAUUUCAGUCUUGGCUGGAACUAGAAUCUCUGUAUUGAUUCAGGUAAAAACUGAACAUCACAGCAUGUUGAAGCAAAACAACCAGAUGAAAACUGUGAUGGUGUUGGAUUGUCAGACCGUAAUGUUGCAGCUCAAAGCAGCUUUUCUAUCUCAGUUCAUUCUGACAUUCAGCUAUGAAUCAACACAGCAGAUGGUGAUCCAUGCUGUGGAAGUCUCACAUCUCCUGAUUUAAUGGAGCUGCUUUGCACUUUUUGCACUGUUUAUUCACCAACACUUUAUUUAAUAAAAGUCCCAUCUAGUUUUUAUGAGGAAUGUGAUGUUUUAAUUUCUCUGUGAAUAACUGCAGUCUAAUGCAACAGCUGGAAUUGUAACAUCUGUCCUGAUAUUGAUCAUGAAGUAUUGAUCAGAAUACUUAUGGUCAGCAGUCAUCCCUGAAGUUUUACAUUGAAAUCUUUACUUGUGUUGUGAACUUUGGUAAGAAGCAGAAACGUUAGCGUUGCCAUGGAUACAUGAGUAUUAAAUUCUGUCCAUGUUUCCAUUUUGGGAAAUGCAGUCCAGUUCCAGAAUGUGGAGGAAUUUAGUCUCACAAUCACAGACAACAAAUAUUAUCUGAAAGUCGGGUUAUUGUUGUUUAUCAGCACAAUACAAAAAGAUUAAUGUUAGAAAUAUUCCAGUUAAGACUCUAGAAUAUCAUGAUUUAUGUAAAUUUACCUCAAUAAUAUGAAUGUUCAGGUUAAGAUUGUACAGUGAUAUUUAUUAUGUAAGUUUAGCUGAUUAAGGUUUAUGACUCUGCACUAAAAUAUUAUUUAAAUUGACAUCAUUAUUAUAAUAUUUAGGGUCAGACCCUACAGUAUUGAGAUUAAGAAAUCAAACAUUCUAUAAAAUGUAAAUACACUGAACUCAUUUGGAUAUACUUAAGUGAGACUCUACAAUAUUAUUUGACACAAAUCUAAAUCAAAAUUUUAAUAAUUUUCACGCCAAACAUUUACUGGACUGAUUUAAUUAUUAAAAUCACUCCUUUCUAAUCCUCUGCUGUACGUUCAAACCUGAGGCCUUAAAUAGAAACACACAAGUAUCUGAUUGAAGGAACUUCUGCAGAGUCCUGGUUCCAGAACAUGAUGAUAGAAUUAUAGACAAACUUUAACAAAAGCUGCCUGAGAGUUUACAGGUUUUUAUGUUGGAUUUCUUCAGUAAUUUAAUGAGCGUUAUCAGCAAAAAUCAAGUGUUCAUUUGAUGAACUUCAUUUCCUAAAACAUCCUGAAUUGAAGCUCAUAUCUUUGGCAGCUGUAAAGUUUCUGCUCCUUCAAAGUUCACAACACAAUGAAUGAAUUCCUAAAACACUCUCAAUGCUGGAGAGCGUUUGAUGCUGAAGCAGUGAUCAGUUUUUCUGUUUCUUCUCUGGAGAUGCACAAUGAGGGACGUCUGCAGAGACUGAGAAAGAGUCUCACCACAUCCUGACAUGAGGAAAAAGACUUUAUUGAAGACUGCAAUGAGAAAAACUAUCAGACAGCAGACGGCUGCAUUCAAGGUGAGCUCUGAACAUUUAAUCUGGAACAGGAAUUCAAUAACGGCAGCAUGAGCUUCAUUUCAGUCUGUAGCUGCUGAAUUCAUGGAUGAAUCAUCUGGCACUAGAGAAGAACACCAUCAAACAUCCACGUCAGCUGAUGGAGGUCCAAGAGUCUCACCGAACAACCAACCUACAGAGUGAAGACCUCAAAUCUGAUUGGACGGCCUCCUAUUCAGCCACAUGUGUGAACAAAUGCCUCUAAGCUGAUUUGUUUUCUAAAAUAAAUCUAGUUUGAGUCCUAAUCUAUGCCUGUGUGUUUGCUUCUUUACACGGCUGUUAACAGUUUAGGCUGUUAGAUUGUUCCAGAUAAGACAAGUACAAGAUACUUCAGAGCCGUUCUACCAGGAGCCUGACAGGAAGAACUCCAACAGCUACUGAAUGUUCCUGUGGUCCCCUCAAGGCUACAGGAGGAGCCCUACGAGGACGAGCCGGUCCACCUGAUGGCGGCCAGUCGCUGCGGUUCAAAGCCAACACCGACUACGUAGACUUCUACUGGACCACACGGAGGCCUUCAAACCGGACCAACAAGUUCCCCGACUCCUCGACUCGUGGGUCUGAGGACGCUGCCGAGCCUCGGUCCAGCCGGCCUCCUGUCUGUGGGUGUUUGAUUGCUGAGAGGUUUGUGGAUGCAUGUGAACGUUCUGUGUUGAAACAGCAGCUUUUGACUCAGUAACGCCGGGAAAAACCAAGAGCGCCUUUAUUUGUGACUUCCACUAAAAAAACUGAUGAAAAUAAGUUUGCCAGGGUUCUGACUGAUAACAGAUUAUUAAAUAAUGAAAAUAAUCCUUUAAAUAUUCCUUUAAACAAUCCUUUUAGGUCUACAUUUCCUUUGCACUGACUUCUUGGUAUAUGUACAAGUAUUUUGGGUGGAAUAUACCAUUAAGCCCGAUGUUCAAGGGUUCUUCUGGGAAUAUACCAUUAAACCAACCUUUUAGGUAAAUGUUCCAGGAUGUUGGGUAGAAUAUACCAUCAGAUAAACCUUUUAGGUCUACAUUGGAAGAUUUUAGAGUAGAAUAUUACUCCAAACCAUCCUUUAGGUCUACAUUUAAGGUGGAAUACUCCUUUACUCCAAGAUUUUUUGGUCUACAUUUAAGGAUUUUAGGUGGAAUAUUCCUUUGAACGAACUUUUUAAGUUUAUGUUAAAGGAUGUUGGGUGGAAUAUACCAUCAGGCCAACCUCCAAGGUCUACAGUAGUGAAUUUUAGGUGGAAUAUACCAUUAAACUCACCUUUUAGGUCUACAUUGGAGCAUUUUAGGUGGAAUUUUCUUCCAAACUGUCUUUUAGUCUACAUUUAAGGAUGUUUAGGAUGGUAUAUUCUUCCAAACCAACUUCUCAGGUCUACAUUUCAGGUGGAAUAUUCCUCCAUAUUAACUUUUUUGGUCUACAUUGAAGGAUUUUUUCUAAACCACCCUUUCGGGUCUAUAUUUGAGGUUUUAGGUGGAAUAUUCCUUUUAACCAGCCCCUCAGGUCUCUUUGAGGAUUUUGGAUGGAAUACUCGGUUAAACCAACAUUUUAGGUGCAUGUACAAGGAUUUUUGGUGGAAUGUUCCUUUAAGGUGGAUGUUUGAGGAACUUGUAGGUGGAAUACUUCCUGAAACCAACCUUUUAGGUCAACAUUCAAAGAUUUAAGGUGGAAUAUUCCUUUAAACCAACCUAAAUUUCAUGUUUUGAUCAUUAUCAAGUGAGAAACCUUAAUCCAGACUCCUCAUAAUGACAUUUGAGAUUUAUGCUGCUGUUAUUUGUUUAGUCCAGAUGAAAUGACAGAAAUCC